RNAcentral lists this ribosomal RNA (412 nucleotides) under uncultured bacterium. RNAcentral describes it as "bacterial SSU rRNA". It matches the Rfam family "Bacterial small subunit ribosomal RNA", at positions 72 to 527 of the family's 1533-position model. The record is from RNAcentral.
UCGGAACUUCCGACUUGUGGCGCCGGGUGCGUACGCGUGGGAUCUGCCCUUGGGUUCGGAAUAACACGAGAAAUGACUGCUAAUACCGGAUGAUGUCUUCGGACCAAAGAUUUAUCGCCCAGGGAUGAGCCCGCGUCAGAUUAGCUUGUUGGUGGGGUAAAGGCCCACCAGGGCGACGAUCCUUAGCUGGUCUGAGAGGAUGAUCCCCCACACUGGGACUGAGACACGGCCCAGACUCCUACGGGAGGCAGCAGUGGGGAAUAUUGGACAAUGGGCGAAAGCCUGAUCCACCAAUGCCGCGUGAGUGAUGAAGGCCUUAGGGUUGUAAAGCUCUUUUACCGGGGAAGAUAAUGACUGUACCCGGAGAAUAAGCCCCGGCUAACUCCGUGCCCGCAGCCGCGGUAAUAAAGCC